Molecule: ribosomal RNA, 254 nt
Filed under: uncultured bacterium
Lineage: Bacteria
Description: partial 16S ribosomal RNA
Rfam family: Bacterial small subunit ribosomal RNA
Source: RNAcentral
UACAGAGGGUGCGAGCGUUGUUCGGAAUUACUGGGCGUAAAGCGCGCGCAGGCGGCUCUUUAAGUCUGACGGUGAAAUGCCGGGGCUCAACCCCGUGCCCGCCGCGGAUACUGGAGGGCUGGAGACACGUAGAGGCAAGCGGAAUUCCGGGUGUAGCGGUGGAAUGCGUAGAGAUCCGGAAGAACACCGGAGGCGAAGGCGGCUUGCUGGGCGUAGUCUGACGCUGAGGCGCGAAAGCUAGGGGAGCAAACAGG